RNAcentral lists this long non-coding RNA (1445 nucleotides) under Piliocolobus tephrosceles (Ugandan red Colobus). Its description in RNAcentral is "lncRNA (ENSPTEG00000013200.1)". The record is from RNAcentral. Lineage: Eukaryota; Metazoa; Chordata; Mammalia; Primates; Cercopithecidae.
AUGAAAAAAGAAAAUGGAAACAUUUAUAUGAACAAUACUGUAGAUAUUUUAUCACAAUUUUAUAUACUCAAAAAAACAUUAAUUAAUGAAAAUUUAUUUAAAAUUCUAUUUUUUUUAAUUCUUUUUAAUUCACCAAUUGAUACUAAACUUUCAAUUCUACAAUAUGGUGUUCAGACAUAUAAUUGGCCGCAUUCUUUGAUUAAUUAUAUUCCUCUCGUGUCACAAGCAUCCAAAUUAAUAGGAAUAUCAAUUUUUCAACUAUAUACAAAUAAAAAAUGUUACAAGACCUAUGCAAUGAUAAUAAUAUUAUUAAACGUUUUACUGAAAAUAACAAAUUUUAUUUUUUUGUAUUAUAAUAAAAAUUCUUAUAUUAGCCCAUUUUUAUUUUUAUUUAACAUAAUAGUACAGAAUGUUUCCAUAAAAAUUCUAGCUAUGCCUAUAUUAUUGUUAUGUAUACAAAAGGCACCUUUAAAUUUAGAAUCAACUAUUAUUAAUAUAUACAUAUUUUGUUUUAAUUUUUCAAAUUUAAUUAGUAAAAGAUAUUUUAUAUGGAAUGUUAUUUUACAUAUGUCCAAAAAUGUCUUCAUAAUUUUGCUUCUUUCCUUUUUAACUACAUGUGCUAGUUUACUAUAUUAUUUAAAUAUAUCCUUAGAUUCAUUAAACAAUGAUGAUAAUAAUAAUAAUAAUAAUUUAUUAAAUUCACCCUCUUGGAUAACAUCAUCAACAAAGUUACAUACAGAUGAAAAAAAAUAUAUGUAUUCGAAAUUAAAUAUAACGAAUAAUUACUUUAAUACAAAUUUAUUUAACCAACAUAAACAAAUGAAUUUAAAAAAUAAGAAUGUCCAUUUUGAAAAUGAAAAUAUAAAAGUAGAAAAUCAUAGGAAAGAUGAAAAAAAAAAGUAAAAAUAAUUUAUUUAAAAUUUCACCAAAUUAUGAUUCGGAUAGUGAUCAAUGGAUGAUAAUUGACAAUUUAAAGGUAGUUAAAAACAAUAGGGAAUUUUUUUUUUUAUUAUAUACAUGUUCAUAUGGAUUACUGUUCAUGCAGAUUACAUGUUCAUGCAGAUUACAUGUUCAUGCAGAUAGAUAUAUUUAAAAUCUUUCUGUAGUUGUCCACUUUCAUAUUCUACUUUUUUUAUUCUACUUUCUUUUUUUUUUUAAAACUUUAAUAACGAUUUUUUUUUUUUUUUUUUUUUUUCCAUUUUCAGGGUAACAUGAGAAGAACUUACUUAAAUCAAAAAUAACUAAAUAUUAAAAAUAACUAUUUAAAAUGUUAUGUUAUAUAUAUUUUUUUUUUAUAUACAAAAUUUUAAAUUUUAUGACAUACUUGAAUAUGUAUUCCUGAGAUGUUAUAAAACUAUUUUAAAACGAGUAAACAUAUAUCAUGGAAAAUGGGCGGAUAAAUGGAUUAUAAUAAAAAUGAGCUCAAGGUAUUGUUCGUUUAUUUA